This 253-nucleotide ribosomal RNA is filed under the name uncultured bacterium. Its description in RNAcentral is "partial 16S ribosomal RNA". It matches the Rfam family "Bacterial small subunit ribosomal RNA", at positions 524 to 776 of the family's 1533-position model. The record is from RNAcentral.
UACGUAGGGUGCAAGCGUUGUCCGGAAUUAUUGGGCGUAAAGAGCUCGUAGGCGGUCUGUCGCGUCGGCUGUGAAAACCCGAGGCUCAACCUCGGGCCUGCAGUCGAUACGGGCAGACUAGAGUUCGGCAGGGGAGACUGGAAUUCCUGGUGUAGCGGUGAAAUGCGUAGAUAUCAGGAGGAACACCUGUGGCGAAAGCGGCUCACUGGACCACAACUGACGCUGAGGCGCGAAAGCUAGGGGAGCAAACAGG